Molecule: long non-coding RNA, 351 nt
Filed under: Androctonus crassicauda
Lineage: Eukaryota; Metazoa; Arthropoda; Arachnida; Scorpiones; Buthidae
Source: RNAcentral
GGUUUGGGUGCAAAGUUGGGUUUGUUCGGCGAUGCAGAAUAUAUACGUUGAAUGUAACGUUGUUCGACGUCUGUCGGCGUGGCGGAGUUGGUUGGGGAGCUUGUUUCGCGGAUAUGAUGAGAUCGCGGGUUCGCGUCUCAUUAUUCCAUAUUUUUUUUUUUUUUAUUAUUUUGUUUUGGUCGUUUUAGGAUGUGUGAUUGGUACUUUUUUGUGCAUUAUUGUUGUUUUUGAAGUUUAUUCCGUUUUGUUCAAGCGAUUUAAAUAAUAUGAAAACAUAAUUUGCAUAGUUAUCGAUAGAACGCUAUUUUACAUAUUUUAUUUUCAUACAAAAAAAAAAUUUUGUACCCUGAU